This 1131-nucleotide long non-coding RNA is filed under the name Linum usitatissimum (flax). RNAcentral's name for it is "long non-coding RNA (LUSI_LNC004630)". Lineage: Eukaryota; Viridiplantae; Streptophyta; Magnoliopsida; Malpighiales; Linaceae. The record is from RNAcentral.
AGGAUAGAGCCUUGAAAAAUCAUCCAUUUGCAUUACGAGCAUUAGCAAACACAAAGACCAAACAAAACCCUCGACUUUCCCCUCAAAACAAAGAAGAAGAAGAUGUCUUGCUGUGGAGGAAACUGCGGCUGCGGCCCUAACUGCAAGUGCACCGGCUGCAACGGGUACGUAAGCAAUUGAAAAAUUUCGAAAAAUAAAAAACGAUAAUAGUCCAAUUUUUACUAUAUCUCGUGUUUGAUUCUCGCAGAUGCAACAUGUACCCUGGCUUGACCGAAACCGCUGCCACCGCCACCCAGACCGUCGUCUUUGGUGUCGGCUCCAGCUCGAUGUAAGUGACCGUUUAUUUGUGUUUAGUAUGAACAAUUUUCGAGAUAACCACAUUUUAGAGGCCCCUAAAAGUAAAAGGUUGUGUGCUAGUGGGUCGACCAGCACAUGUUAUUGAACGGGGUUAGGUGCUUAGUAUAAAAUAGACUAUAUAAUAUUCUCUUAAUAUUGAUAUGUUGGUAGAGGUGUGAUCUCGUAUAUAUACUAUAUGACGAGAUCACGAAAUAUUAUUUAUUUUUCGAGUAGGGUCGAGAUGUCGUCGGAGAUGAACUUUGGUUCGGAGAAUGGCUGCAAGUGCGGAGCCAACUGCAGCUGCGUGAACUGCACCUGCAACAAUUGAGUCCCGGACACGGGCGUAUGGUGUAUUCCCUACGAAGCAGCGAUUAUUGAUAUGAUAUGUCUGUAAUAAAAUCACCUUAAAGCUUUGUACGGAUUUUACGACCGGUUUGGUAUAAUAAAAACAUAUGAAAUUUCAGCCAUAUUGUCUCUGUUAACGUAAAGGUAACUGUCCAAACAGUCCCUAAUGAGAAAGUACAGUUAGUGACUUUGACUUGAGCUAAUAGUGACCAUAUAAAGGGUUACUAGAAACGGUCACCAGAGGUUUUGCGGUAUUUUCUCAUGAACUGUCCCUAAUUUUAUUUGGCCACAAUAACUUGGUCACAAAUAAAUUAUUGGCGAUCUUACAUGGGACUGUAUUUAAAGUUCUGUACCGUUCGUUUUUGGUCACUAGUAUUUCAGUAUUUAUAGUGGCAUGAAUACUAUGUUUUUUGAAGUCUUAUACUAGUGUAGUUAGAUUGUCUAAACUAG